Molecule: transfer RNA, 86 nt
Filed under: Bacillota bacterium
Lineage: Bacteria; Bacillati; Bacillota
Description: Firmicutes bacterium (anaerobic digester metagenome) tRNA-Leu
Rfam family: tRNA
About the family: Transfer RNA (tRNA) molecules are approximately 80 nucleotides in length. Their secondary structure includes four short double-helical elements and three loops (D, anti-codon, and T loops).
Source: RNAcentral
GCCGAAGUGGCGGAACGGCAGACGCGCUGCGUUCAGGGCGCAGUGGGCGCAAGCCCGUGUGGGUUCAAAUCCCACCUUCGGCACCA